This 492-nucleotide ribosomal RNA is filed under the name uncultured bacterium. Its description in RNAcentral is "partial 16S ribosomal RNA". It matches the Rfam family "Bacterial small subunit ribosomal RNA", at positions 29 to 507 of the family's 1533-position model. The record is from RNAcentral.
AGUGAACGCUGGCGGUAGGCCUAACACAUGCAAGUCGAACGGCAGCACAGUAAGAGCUUGCUCUUACGGGUGGCGAGUGGCGGACGGGUGAGGAAUACAUCGGAAUCUACUUUUUCGUGGGGGAUAACGUAGGGAAACUUACGCUAAUACCGCAUACGACCUACGGGUGAAAGCAGGGGAUCUUCGGACCUUGCGCGAUUGAAUGAGCCGAUGUCGGAUUAGCUAGUUGGCGGGGUAAAGGCCCACCAAGGCGACGAUCCGUAGCUGGUCUGAGAGGAUGAUCAGCCACACUGGAACUUAGACACGGUCCAGACUCCUACGGGAGGCAGCAGUGGGGAAUAUUGGACAAUGGUCGCAAGCCUGAUCCAGCCAUACCGCGUGGGUGAAGAAGGCCUUCGGGUUGUAAAGCCCUUUUGUUGGGAAAGAAAAGCAGCAGGUUAAUACCCCGCUGUUCUGACGGUACCCAAAGAAUAAGCACCGGCUAACUUCGUG